Molecule: long non-coding RNA, 899 nt
Organism: Hibiscus syriacus
Lineage: Eukaryota; Viridiplantae; Streptophyta; Magnoliopsida; Malvales; Malvaceae
Exons: 3
Source: RefSeq, a predicted model, not a curated record
AGUUGGCUAAUCUAAAAACCUGGAGGUGCUUAACUUGUAUUGGAAUUACCUCUAUGGAACUUUGCCCGUCCAAGAGCUGAUGGGGUUUAGUAGUUUGGAGAUACUAGAUUUUAGCUACAAUAACUUUGAAGGCUCCAUCCCUCCAAGUAUAGGGAACCUAUCCACCCUCAAGGCCUUCUCCGUUGCUCAUAAUUUACUCGAGGGUUCUUUGCCGUCCGGUUUGUGUGAAUUGAAGAGACUACAAGAGUUGGAUCUCAGCCAAAAUCACUCUGGAGGAACCAUUCCUCCUGUCCUAUUUAAUAUCUAUUGAGUUGUUAGAUGCAUCAGAUAACAAUUUUAAUGGAACAUUUUCAACGUCUUUGGUGCACAACCUCACGGCGGUAUCUUGAUUUUUGUUACAACGAUUUCGAGGGUUUAUUCUCGCUGAGUUCGAUCGAAAAUCACUCCGAGCUCCAAGUGUUUCAAUUGAUAAGCAACAAUGGCAGGUUGCAGAUUGGUACUGGGAGUCCUCCAGGGUGGUUUCCUUCGUUCCAAUUGAAGGUUUUGGCACUAUCCAACUGUAGUCUGAACAGUCAUACCAAUGUUGUUCCUAGCUUUCUUCGCCACCAGUUCGAUUUGCGCAUAGUUGAGUUGUGCGAAAGUUUUCCUGGUUGGUUACUCGAAAACAAUACCAACCUUGCAACUCUGUUGCUAAGGAACAACUCUUUCUUCGGGGAAUUUCAGUUACCUCCAUUCGUUUUGAUCAACACUGUUAUGGUGGAUGUAUCGAGCAAUCGAAUUCAUGGUCUUCCGAUGAAUAUCGGAAAAAUCGUUCCACAUCUGGAGUAUCUGGAUUUAUCCAGAAAUGCUUUCGAUCAAGACCUAUUGCCCUCCAUUGGUGACAUGAGAAAUUUGCAAGU